RNAcentral lists this ribosomal RNA (1180 nucleotides) under uncultured organism. RNAcentral's name for it is "bacterial SSU rRNA". It matches the Rfam family "Bacterial small subunit ribosomal RNA", at positions 158 to 1327 of the family's 1533-position model. The record is from RNAcentral.
CGGUGCUAAUACCGGAUGUAGCGUUUGGAUCGCCUGAUUUGGGCGUGAAAGGUUGGCUUUUGCUAACGCCGAGAGAUAAGCCUGCGUCCCAUUAGCUAGUUGGUGAGGUAACGGCUCACCAAGGCAACGAUGGGUAGCCGGGCUGAGAGGGUGAACGGGCACACUGGGACUGAGAUACGGCCCAGACUCCUACGGGAGGCAGCAGUGAGGAAUAUUGCGCAAUGGACGAAAGUCUGACGCAGCAACGCCGCGUGAGGGAUGAAGCUCUUAGGAGUGUAAACCUUUUUCAGGAGGGAAGAACGGGUAGCAUUCGAACAGGGUGUCACUGUGACGGUACCUCCAGAAUAAGCCCCGGCUAACUCCGUGCCAGCAGCCGUGGUAAUACGGGGGGGGCUAGCGUUGUCCGGAAUUAUUGGGCGUAAAGGGCGCGUAGGCGGGAUAGUCAGUCUGAGGUGAAAGCCCAGGGCUUAACUCUGGGUUUGCCUUGGAUACUGGUAUUCUUGAGUUCGGCAGAGGGAAGUGGAAUUCCUGGUGUAGCGGUGAAAUGCGUAGAUAUCAGGAAGAACACCGGUGGCGAAGGCGGCUUCCUGGUCCGAUACUGACGCUGAGGCGCGAAAGCGUGGGGAGCGAACAGGAUUAGAUACCCUGGUAGUCCACGCUGUAAACGAUGGGCACUAGGUGUUGGAUAUUGAUUUCAGCGCCGGAGCUAACGCAUUAAGUGCCCCGCCUGGGGAAUACGAUCGCAAGAUUGAGACUCAAAGGAAUUGACGGGGGCCCGCACAAGCGGUGGAGCAUGUGGUUUAAUUCGAUGCAACGCGAAGAACCUUACCUGGGCUUGAACUGCAUCUGACGAUCUCUGAAAGGGGAUUUUCCUUCGGGACAGGUGUAGAGGUGCUGCAUGGCUGUCGUCAGCUCGUGCCGUGAGGUGUUGGGUUAAGUCCCGCAACGAGCGCAACCCCUGCCCUUAGUUGCCAACAGGUAAAGCUGGGAACUCUAAGGGGACUGCCCCGGAUAACGGGGAGGAAGGCGGGGAUGACGUCAAGUCAUCAUGGCCCUUACGUCCAGGGCUACACACGUGCUACAAUGGCCGGUACAGAGGGUAGCGAACCCGCGAGGCGAAGCCAAUCCCCAAAACCGGUCUCAGUUCGGAUUGUAGUCUGCAACUCGACUGCAUGAAGUU